This 639-nucleotide long non-coding RNA is filed under the name Rhinopithecus bieti (black snub-nosed monkey). RNAcentral describes it as "lncRNA (ENSRBIG00000045340.1)". The record is from RNAcentral. Lineage: Eukaryota; Metazoa; Chordata; Mammalia; Primates; Cercopithecidae.
UUUGUGACCCAAAGAGGGCCGAGUCACACAGAUAAAUAGGACACCUCUGAUGGCUUCCACUCUGGACAGCAGCAAUGACCCCAGCCACCCUCACCCCAAAGCCAGGGAAACAUCAUCUUGUCAUCUCUGGAUUUUUCCUCACCCCCUUGGGUUAAAGCUGAGCAGACAGGGUGGCACUUCUGAAUUCAGAGGCUGCAAUGAGCUGAGAAAAACAAGCUUCUGUGGCCCCCUCCAGGACCCACCAGGUCAUCACGGAGCUGGAACCCUACCAAUAGCCCUGAGGAGGGAAAGAAUUCCCGAUUAACCCCAUCACCUGUGAGCAGGGCCAGGGCAAAGGUGACACACACAGCAGCAAGUGAGCCCUGCAGACAGAGACAUCCCAGAACCCCAGGCCUGGGACCAGCGCUCAGGAGCCAUCCUCUCAGCUAGAUUGCCUUCAGCCUGCCGGGAGGAGGAGCAGCCCAGCCUAGACUGAAAGCCUCCAAGGAGGAAGUUCUACCUGCUUCUCCAUGCCUCCAGACCCACUGUACCUUGUGCAUUUCAUCUGGAAUUUUCUUCUGUUGAAAGGAAGGUGCUGGGUGGGAGGAGGAGGGAGAGGAUCAGAAAAAAUAACUAAUAAAUACUAGGCUUAAUACCUGA